UUUCCGUAGGUGAACCUGCGGAAGGAUCAUUAUUGUAUAACCGAGGUGCGAGGGCUGUCGCUGACCCGAAAGGGCGUGCACGCCCGAGUGCCCUCACACACAUCCAUCUCACCCCUAUGUGCACCACCGCGCGGGUCCCCCUUUGGCUUGUUCGGAGGGGGGCUUACGUUUUCCCACAAACUUUGUAUGCAGUGUAGAAUGUAUUUUUUGUUUUUGCGAUCACGCAAUCAAUACAACUUUCAACAACGGAUCUCUUGGCUCUC
RNAcentral lists this unclassified non-coding RNA (263 nucleotides) under plant metagenome. RNAcentral's name for it is "partial contains small subunit ribosomal RNA, internal transcribed spacer 1, and 5.8S ribosomal RNA". The record is from RNAcentral.